This is a long non-coding RNA of Anguilla rostrata (American eel), 649 nucleotides long. RefSeq lists it as uncharacterized. The transcript is spliced from 2 exons. NCBI's taxonomy places the organism in Eukaryota, Metazoa, Chordata, Actinopteri, Anguilliformes, Anguillidae. The record is from RefSeq and is a predicted model, not a curated record.
ACAAGAAGGCUGUUUUUACAUGAAUCAAUAAGAGGAUGUUUGUUGUCCUUUUGAAAUGGUAGUAGUUUACCCAAGGGAAGGGCAACACCUGAGGGCCUAGGAUUUCAUCACUGACGGCAGGUUGUCAUAAAUGACUACAGAUGGAAUUUUGUAGCAUCCUAACACACCUACCCAUGCCAUUAGCCAGCUGUACACAACAGUUACUACAUUACUCUACGUUAUGGCACCCCAUUCAAUGAUUUAUAUCAGGCCAAUAAUACAUAACUUGGUUAAUUACUUAGGAGGACGUGGUGCCACUUACACAGUCAACCUUAAGUGCCUCUUGCACCAUCUAAUUCUGACAAGCAUUGGUAUACUCUUGGUUCCUGUAUGGUCAUAUGGCAUAGGCUGCUGCUAAUCUGUUGUUUCUGAUGAAAACAGUCAUGUGGAACAAGGAUGACAAUGUAUCAUGGAUUUUGGGGAAGAACCUUUUCAGGAAGUUGGAAAUGGAGACAUGACUUCCCCACUGGGGCCAUAAAGGACUGCAGGUGCUUCCCUUCGACAGGCCUGUGAAAUAGCAGCUAGUCUACUGGGCGAAACAGAAGUGGCAUUAAGCAGCUAUACAUCUUCACUACCUGCAAUAAAGCAUUAUUUUAUUUAUUUAUUUUUU